Molecule: ribosomal RNA, 253 nt
Filed under: uncultured bacterium
Lineage: Bacteria
Description: partial 16S ribosomal RNA
Rfam family: Bacterial small subunit ribosomal RNA
Source: RNAcentral
UACGGGGGGGGCAAGCGUUGUUCGGAAUUACUGGGCGUAAAGGGCUCGUAGGCGGCCGACUAAGUCAUACGUGAAAUCCCUCGGCUUAACCGGGGAACUGCGUCUGAUACUGGAUGGCUUGAGGUUGGGAGAGGGAUGCGGAAUUCCAGGUGUAGCGGUGAAAUGCGUAGAUAUCUGGAGGAACACCGGUGGCGAAGGCGGCAUCCUGGACCAAUUCUGACACUGAGGAGCGAAAGCCAGGGGAGCAAACGGG